Molecule: ribosomal RNA, 301 nt
Filed under: uncultured bacterium
Lineage: Bacteria
Description: partial 16S ribosomal RNA
Rfam family: Bacterial small subunit ribosomal RNA
Source: RNAcentral
CAGUCGCCGCGGGAAAACGUAGGCAGCAAGCGUUGUUCGGAGUUACUGGGCGUAAAGGGUGCGUAGGCGGCUUUUUAAGUUUGGUGUGAAAUCUCCCGGCUCAACCGGGAGGGUGCGCCGAAUACUGAGAGGCUAGAGUGCGGGAGAGGAAAGUGGAAUUCCUGGUGUAGCGGUGAAAUGCGUAGAUAUCAGGAGGAACACCGGUGGUGUAAACGGCUUUCUGGACCGUAACUGACGCUGAGGCACGAAAGCGUGGGUAGCAAACAGGAUUAGAUACCCCCGUAGUCCCUGUCUCUUAUAA